This 107-nucleotide small nucleolar RNA is filed under the name Eutrema salsugineum. Its description in RNAcentral is "Plant small nucleolar RNA R71". It matches the Rfam family "Plant small nucleolar RNA R71". Rfam says of the family: R71 is a member of the C/D box family of snoRNAs containing the C (UGAUGA) and D (CUGA) box motifs. Multiple nearly identical copies of this snoRNA have been identified in Arabidopsis, and it is thought to function as a 2'-O-ribose methylation guide for 18S ribosomal RNA. The record is from Rfam by way of RNAcentral. Lineage: Eukaryota; Viridiplantae; Streptophyta; Magnoliopsida; Brassicales; Brassicaceae.
AACCCAUGGUGUGGGCAUUGGUUUGUGUAGCUCCUGAUUCUCUCAUAUGCUUCACCAAAACUUUCAUUGCUUUGCUGAGUGAAGCUAGAGAUUUGGUUCCUUAGUUU